UGGGGAAUAUUGCGCAAUGGGGGAAACCCUGACGCAGCGACGCCGCGUGUGGGAUGAAGGUCUUCGGAUUGUAAACCACUGUCGCGAGGGACGAAGCUCUGACGGUACCUCGAAAGGAAGCACCGGCUAACUCUGUGCCAGCAGCCGCGGUAAUACAGAGGGUGCGAGCGUUGUCCGGAAUCACUGGGCGUAAGGGCGCGUAGGCGGCCCGGUAAGUAGGGGGUGAAAUCUCAUGGCUCAACUGUGAGGCUGCCUUCUAGACUGCCAGGCUUGAGCACAGUAGAGGCGAGUGGAAUUCCCGGUGUAGCGGUGGAAUGCGUAGAGAUCGGGAAGAACAUCGGUGGCGAAGGCGGCUCGCUGGGCUGUUGCUGACGCUGAGGCGCGAAAGCGUGGGGAGCAAACAGGAUUAGAUACCCAUGUAGUCCCUGAGCGGGCUGGCAAGGCGCAU
RNAcentral lists this ribosomal RNA (448 nucleotides) under uncultured bacterium. RNAcentral describes it as "bacterial SSU rRNA". It matches the Rfam family "Bacterial small subunit ribosomal RNA", at positions 355 to 825 of the family's 1533-position model. The record is from RNAcentral.